AUGCUUAACACAUGCAAGUCGAACGGUAACAUUGGAGCUUGCUCCAGAUGACGAGUGGCGGACGGGUGAGUAACGCGUAGGAAUCUGCCUAGUAGUGGGGGACAACAUGUGGAAACGCAUGCUAAUACCGCAUACGCCCUACGGGGGAAAGCGAGGGAUCUUCGGACCUCGCGCUAUUAGAUGAGCCUGCGUUAGAUUAGCUUGUUGGUGGGGUAAUGGCCUACCAAGGCGACGAUCUAUAGCUGGUCUGAGAGGACGAUCAGCCACACUGGGACUGAGACACGGCCCAGACUCCUACGGGAGGCAGCAGUGGGGAAUAUUGGACAAUGGGCGAAAGCCUGAUCCAGCAAUACCACGUGUGUGAAGAAGGCCUGAGGGUUGUAAAGCACUUUCAAUUGGGAGGAAAACAGCUGGGUUAAUAGCCCUGCUCUUGACAUUACCUUUAGAAGAAGCACCGGCUAACUCCGUGCCAGCAGCCGCGGUAAUACGGAGGGUGCGAGCGUUAAUCGGAAUUACUGGGCGUAAAGCGUACGUAGGCGGUUAUUUAAGUCAGAUGUGAAAGCCCCGGGCUCAACCUGGGAACUGCAUUUGAAACUGGAUAACUAGAGUUUGAUAGAGGAGAGUAGAAUUUCUGGUGUAGCGGUGAGAUGCGUAGAGAUCGGAAGGAACACCAGUGG
RNAcentral lists this ribosomal RNA (677 nucleotides) under uncultured bacterium. Its description in RNAcentral is "bacterial SSU rRNA". It matches the Rfam family "Bacterial small subunit ribosomal RNA", at positions 44 to 715 of the family's 1533-position model. The record is from RNAcentral.